UCCGCACGAGCGCACCCUUGAUCUUAGUUGCCAUCAUUAAGUUGGGCACUCUAAGGUGACUGCCGGUGACAAACCGGAGGAAGGUGGGGAUGACGUCAAAUCAUCAUGCCCCUUAUGACCUGGGCUACACACGUGCUACAAUGGACGGUACAAAGAGCUGCAAGACCGCGAGGUGGAGCUAAUCUCAUAAAACCGUUCUCAGUUCGGAUUGUAGGCUGCAACUCGCCUACAUGAAGCUGGAAUCGCUAGUAAUCGCGGAUCAGCAUGCCGCGGUGAAUACGUUCCCGGGCCUU
RNAcentral lists this ribosomal RNA (293 nucleotides) under uncultured bacterium. RNAcentral's name for it is "partial 16S ribosomal RNA". It matches the Rfam family "Bacterial small subunit ribosomal RNA", at positions 1085 to 1382 of the family's 1533-position model. The record is from RNAcentral.